This is a long non-coding RNA of Vicia villosa (hairy vetch), 1408 nucleotides long. RefSeq lists it as uncharacterized. The transcript is spliced from 8 exons. The record is from RefSeq and is a predicted model, not a curated record. Lineage: Eukaryota; Viridiplantae; Streptophyta; Magnoliopsida; Fabales; Fabaceae.
UACCCCAUUCAAUUAAACUAAUUGUUCUUAUCGUACAACUUUGUAGUGUUAGCAGCUCAUGACUCAACUUCAAACAAAAUUGAAACCCUAAACCCUCUUCACUGUUACGGAGCUGCUCCACCCAUCGCGACACCAAAUCGAUCAAAGGAAAACCAUUUUUUACUCUCCAAUUCAAGAGAUUCCUUUUCAGUCGGGAAGGAGAUAGUGACAUUGAAGGCGGCGGUGGCGGUGGAGCUGACACCUUUCGUUCUCCGAUUGGCCGUAAAUAUCGUUCCGUGUUGGCUAACGAUCGUGCUCUACUUGAGAUGUCUUCCAUAGAUCCACUAUCUUAUUCUUCCUCAAUCUACACGAUUCUAGCGUUCUUUUCACAACCCUAAUUUCACCAUGCAAUUUCAAUCUUAUGAUAUUGUUUAUUGUUUGUUCUGUAACAGCUAUGGUCCAGCAGGCUAUGCAAUAUAUUGAUGAGACACCUGAUAUUGAAACUCAUAUUGAACUUAUCAAAACAUUGAACAGUGUAUCUGCAGGGAAGAUCUAUGUUGAGAUUGAGAGAGUUCGGUUGGUCAAGAAACUUGCCAAGAUUAAGGAAGAACAAAGUUAUGAUGAUGCAGCUCAACUGAAAAUGCUCAGGAGCUUAACCUUACUCAAACCAUAAGUAGUGCUUUCCUUCCACGGUUCAGGUAUCCCAAAAUUCAACCUUAUAGAAUACAGGGCACAACUAUAUGAUUAUCUCAAGAGUAGGAUGAACACCAUAGCACCCAAUUUGACUGCUAUGGUUGGGGAGCUUGUCGGCGCUUGUCUCAUUGCCCAUGGUGGUAGCUUAAUAAAUCUUGCAAAGCAGCCUGGUUGAUGUGAAUGGUGGAACAAACAUGACCGGCGAAUUGCUACUCUCGAGUUUGACCGUGACACGAAGUCAAUGGGUGUUAUUGUUGACACUGGUACGGGGAAAAAUUUGAUGCUGGUUAAGGUUGGAGACGAGUCCUAUGAGUCAUUCAUGGCCGAGAGGGGUCGUAUUUUAUCUUCUCUUGCUAAGCGUGCAAAGUGCUACCUUACCUACCGCUGGUGAUGAUGGGUAGAGCACCAUGCUGUGAUGAAAGCGGUUUGAUGAAAGGACCUUGGACACCACACAGGGUACACCCCUCCCUGCAAUACUGACUGUUACUGCUAGGGGAGCAAAUAUUAAUAUAAAUAAUUUUUUUUAUUUUAAAAAUAUAUUACCUGCGGAUUUAUCCGCGGAUAUUUCCUGCGGAUUUAGCUGCGGAAUUACCUGCGGAAUUUCCUGCCGAAAAUAUUACCCACGAAGGUUUUAGCUGGGGACAUGAAACCGCAGAAAAAUCCGCAGGUAACUUGUUUCCUGCGGAAAUUUAGCUAAAAUCCGCAGGUAAUUCCGCAGGAAAAUUGAGUAUUUCUA